RNAcentral lists this transfer RNA (75 nucleotides) under Cordylochernes scorpioides. RNAcentral describes it as "tRNA-Thr". It matches the Rfam family "tRNA". From Rfam's summary of the family: Transfer RNA (tRNA) molecules are approximately 80 nucleotides in length. Their secondary structure includes four short double-helical elements and three loops (D, anti-codon, and T loops). Lineage: Eukaryota; Metazoa; Arthropoda; Arachnida; Pseudoscorpiones; Chernetidae. The record is from RNAcentral.
GUCCACGGUAGCUUAGUGGACAUGGCAUCUGCCCGGUAAGCUGAACACUGUGGGUUCGAUUCCAAUUCUUGGACA